RNAcentral lists this ribosomal RNA (253 nucleotides) under uncultured bacterium. RNAcentral's name for it is "partial 16S ribosomal RNA". It matches the Rfam family "Bacterial small subunit ribosomal RNA", at positions 524 to 776 of the family's 1533-position model. The record is from RNAcentral.
UACGUAGGUGGCAAGCGUUAUCCGGAUUUACUGGGUGUAGAGGGCGUGUAGGCGGGAGAGCAAGUCAGACGUGAAAUUCCAGGGCUCAACCCUGGAACUGCGUUUGAAACUGUUCUUCUUGAGUGAUGGAGAGGCAGGCGGAAUUCCGUGUGUAGCGGUGAAAUGCGUAGAUAUACGGAGGAACACCAGUGGCGAAGGCGGCCUGCUGGACAUUAACUGACGCUGAGGCGCGAAAGCGUGGGGAGCAAACAGG